Molecule: ribosomal RNA, 429 nt
Filed under: Gemmatimonadota bacterium
Lineage: Bacteria; Pseudomonadati; Gemmatimonadota
Description: Gemmatimonadetes bacterium partial 16S ribosomal RNA
Rfam family: Bacterial small subunit ribosomal RNA
Source: RNAcentral
UAGGGAAUCUUCGGCAAUGGACGAAAGUCUGACCGAGCAACGCCGCGUGAGUGAAGAAGGUUUUCGGAUCGUAAAACUCUGUUGUUAGAGAAGAACAAGGACGUUAGUAACUGAACGUCCCCUGACGGUAUCUAACCAGAAAGCCACGGCUAACUACGUGCCAGCAGCCGCGGUAAUACGUAGGUGGCAAGCGUUGUCCGGAUUUAUUGGGCGUAAAGCGAGCGCAGGCGGUUUCUUAAGUCUGAUGUGAAAGCCCCCGGCUCAACCGGGGAGGGUCAUUGGAAACUGGGAGGCUUGAGUGCAGAAGAGGAGAGUGGAAGUCCAUGUGUAGCGGUGAAAUGCGUAGAUAUAUGGAGGAACACCAGUGGAGAAGGAGGCUCUCUGGUCUGUAACUGACGCUGAGGCGCGAAAGCGUGGGGAGCAAACAGG